Molecule: ribosomal RNA, 448 nt
Filed under: Vibrio sp. 2J34
Lineage: Bacteria; Pseudomonadati; Pseudomonadota; Gammaproteobacteria; Vibrionales; Vibrionaceae
Description: bacterial SSU rRNA
Rfam family: Bacterial small subunit ribosomal RNA
Source: RNAcentral
GGGGGAUAACCAUUGGAAACGAUGGCUAAUACCGCAUAAUGCCUACGGGCCAAAGAGGGGGAUCUUCGGACCUCUCGCGUCAAGAUUAGCCCAGGUGGGAUUAGCUAGUUGGUGAGGUAAUGGCUCACCAAGGCGACGAUCCCUAGCUGGUCUGAGAGGAUGAUCAGCCACACUGGAACUGAGACACGGUCCAGACUCCUACGGGAGGCAGCAGUGGGGAAUAUUGCACAAUGGGCGCAAGCCUGAUGCAGCCAUGCCGCGUGUGUGAAGAAGGUCUUCGGGUUGUAUAGCACUUUCAGUUCGUGAGGAAGGUGGUAGUGUGAAUAGAACUAUCAUUUGACGUUAGCGACAGAAGAAGCACCGGCUAACUCCGGGCCAGCAGCCGNGGUAAUACGGAGGGUGCGAGCGGUAAUCGGAAUUACUGGGCGUUAAGGGGCAUGCAGUGGUU